RNAcentral lists this ribosomal RNA (508 nucleotides) under uncultured bacterium. RNAcentral's name for it is "bacterial SSU rRNA". It matches the Rfam family "Bacterial small subunit ribosomal RNA", at positions 10 to 507 of the family's 1533-position model. The record is from RNAcentral.
AGUUUGAUCCUGGCUCAGAGUGAACGCUGGCGGCAGGCCUAAUACAUGCAAGUCGAACGGCAGCACAGCAGAGCUUGCUCUGUGGGUGGCGAGUGGCGGACGGGUGAGGAAUACAUGGGAAUCUGCCCAGUCGUGGGGGAUAACGUAGGGAAACUUACGCUAAUACCGCAUGCGCCCUUCGGGGGAAAGCCGGGGACCGUAAGGCCUGGCGCGAUUGGAUGAGCCCAUGUCGGAUUAGCUAGUUGGCGGGGUAAAGGCCCACCAAGGCGACGAUCCGUAGCUGGUCUGAGAGGAUGAUCAGCCACACUGGAACUGAGACACGGUCCAGACUCCUACGGGAGGCAGCAGUAGGGAAUAUUGGACAAUGGGCGCAAGCCUGAUCCAGCCAUGCCGCGUGAGUGAAGAAGGCCCUCGGGUUGUAAAGCUCUUUUGUCCGGAAAGAAAAGCGCCGGGUUAAUACCCUGGUGUCCUGACGGUACCGGAAGAAUAAGCACCGGCUAACUUCGUG